Molecule: ribosomal RNA, 467 nt
Filed under: uncultured bacterium
Lineage: Bacteria
Description: partial 16S ribosomal RNA
Rfam family: Bacterial small subunit ribosomal RNA
Source: RNAcentral
AUGAACGCUGGCGGCGUGCUUCACACAUGCCAGUCGAACGGAAAGGCCCAAGCUUGCUUGGGUACUCGAGUGGCGAACGGGUGAGUAACACGUGGGUGAUCUGCCCUGCACUUCGGGAUAAGCCUGGGAAACUGGGUCUAAUACCGGAUAGGACGAUGGUUUGGAUGCCAUUGUGGAAAGUUUUUUCGGUGUGGGAUGAGCUCGCGGCCUAUCAGCUUGUUGGUGGGGUAAUGGCCUACCAAGGCGUCGACGGGUAGCCGGCCUGAGAGGGUGUACGGCCACAUUGGGACUGAGAUACGGCCCAGACUCCUACGGGAGGCAGCAGUGGGGAAUAUUGCACAAUGGGCGCAAGCCUGAUGCAGCGACGCCGCGUGGGGGAUGACGGCCUUCGGGUUGUAAACUCCUUUCGCUAGGGACGAAGCGUUUUUGUGACGGUACCUGGAGAAGAAGCACCGGCUAACUACGUG